AGUACAGCUAUGCUGCUUCUUUUGGGGAGGGGGAAGUGGUUUGGGAGGGACAGGUGUUAACGUGGGUGGGGCAGGUGUGGGGGCGGGGCAGGCUAGGUGUUGGGGCGGGGCAGGGGCAGAUGGUUGGGCAGGGCAGGGGCAGGUGUUGGGGCAGGGCAAAACACUUUAGCCCCUCCCUGCUUACCUCCAGUGAGCCCACGGACAGGCUGGUGUGGGUGUGGCCCAGUUUCCGCGGGAGGGUACGAGUGCGGUGGGCGG
Anguilla rostrata (American eel) is the source of this 258-nucleotide long non-coding RNA. RefSeq lists it as uncharacterized. The record is from RefSeq and is a predicted model, not a curated record. NCBI's taxonomy places the organism in Eukaryota, Metazoa, Chordata, Actinopteri, Anguilliformes, Anguillidae. The transcript is spliced from 3 exons.